UACGCAACUGCUUAAACCAGACCACAAUCCGGAGGAGGAGCUGCCUAGAAUUUUCUAUCUGCGAGAGGUGGCAUACCGCUGCAAGUUGUAUACUGUGAUAAUUUUCUGAUUGUUACAUUUUGUUGGCAAUGACUCGUGGAUUGGCUCCAGCAGACCCCCGUGACCCUGUGUUCGGAUUCAGCGGGUUGGAAAAUGGAUGGAUGGAAAUUACCAGGUGGAAACCAGCGUGAACUGGCACGACAGAAGAAUAUUAAGAAAAAUCAAGAAAACCUUAAAGGCAAAAGGAAAGAUGAUAAUUUAUCUCCAGCUCAAAGAAAGCAACGGUGAGGAGUGAACAGUAAGCUGAUUAAAGACUGAAAAAGAGAUGCUGAAAUAAUGGAGAUGAAGCAAAAAGCAGCAAAUGAAAAAAAGAAUACAUCCACUGGAAACAAGCUGUGAUCACCAACAAGGAAUGCCACGUCAAAUGCUUGAUGGCUUUUCUGAGUUAUGUAUAUAUCAUAGAAAUCCAGAAAAUUCAUUUGAAGUUUUGACAAGUGUGUCACUUCAUGUUGACAAUUGAGAAUAUUUAUGUUUUCUGUUAUACAGCCGUCGGCACAGUUCCUGUGUCAUAGUUCAGUAAAUAAAUUGACUGUAUGGAAAUACCAGAUCUCAAAUCUCCAAAUAGAUUUUUUUUUUAAUUAUUAUAAAUGGAUGCAUGUACAACACAGACCCAUCCCCAUUUAUUUACCAGGUUGUUAUUUAAGAUAAGUUUCUGAUGUCCUAGGAAAACAUUGUAAUACUAAGCAGUGUUAAUCUGUAAUUAUGCUUCAGUGUAAAAAAUAUGUGUGAUCAUUCCACCUGUAAAUUUAUACAUGCCAACCAUUAAAUUAUUUAAAUU
This is a long non-coding RNA of Erpetoichthys calabaricus (reedfish), 877 nucleotides long. RefSeq lists it as uncharacterized. The record is from RefSeq and is a predicted model, not a curated record. The transcript is spliced from 4 exons. Lineage: Eukaryota; Metazoa; Chordata; Cladistia; Polypteriformes; Polypteridae.